RNAcentral lists this ribosomal RNA (464 nucleotides) under uncultured bacterium. RNAcentral's name for it is "partial 16S ribosomal RNA". It matches the Rfam family "Bacterial small subunit ribosomal RNA", at positions 339 to 795 of the family's 1533-position model. The record is from RNAcentral.
CUACGGGGGGCUGCAGUGGGGAAUAUUGCGCAAUGGGCGAAAGCCUGACGCAGCAACGCCGCGUGUGUGACGAAGGCCUUCGGGUCGUAAAGCACUGUUGAGGGGAACGAGCCGGCGGAGGUUAAUAGCCUUCGCCCCGACGGUACCCCUUUAGAAAGCACCGGCUAACUCCGUGCCAGCAGCCGCGGUAAUACGGAGGAGUGCAAGCGUUGUUCGGAAUUAUUGGGCGUAAAGCGCACGUAGGCGGAAUGUUAAGUCUGAUGUGAAAGCCCUCGGCUCAACCGAGGAAUUGCAUUGGAUACUGGCAAUCUUGAGUCCUGGAGAGGGUGGCGGAAUUCCCAGUGUAGAGGUGAAAUUCGUAGAUAUUGGGAGGAACACCGGUGGCGAAGGCGGCCACCUGGACAGUGACUGACGCUGAGGUGCGAAAGCGUGGGUAGCAAACAGGAUUAGAUACCCCGGUAGUC